UGGAUGGUAGAUGGUAGCGCGUCUGCCUUAUAGGCACUAGAUCGCGGGUUCGAUUCCCGCCCGUGCAG
RNAcentral lists this transfer RNA (68 nucleotides) under Diaphorina citri (Asian citrus psyllid). It matches the Rfam family "tRNA". Rfam says of the family: Transfer RNA (tRNA) molecules are approximately 80 nucleotides in length. Their secondary structure includes four short double-helical elements and three loops (D, anti-codon, and T loops). Lineage: Eukaryota; Metazoa; Arthropoda; Insecta; Hemiptera; Psyllidae. The record is from Rfam by way of RNAcentral.